RNAcentral lists this ribosomal RNA (795 nucleotides) under Bacillus pumilus. RNAcentral's name for it is "bacterial SSU rRNA". It matches the Rfam family "Bacterial small subunit ribosomal RNA", at positions 557 to 1352 of the family's 1533-position model. The record is from RNAcentral. Lineage: Bacteria; Bacillati; Bacillota; Bacilli; Caryophanales; Bacillaceae.
GGCGUAAAGGGCUCGCAGGCGGUUUCUUAAGUCUGAUGUGAAAGCCCCCGGCUCAACCGGGGAGGGUCAUUGGAAACUGGGAAACUUGAGUGCAGAAGAGGAGAGUGGAAUUCCACGUGUAGCGGUGAAAUGCGUAGAGAUGUGGAGGAACACCAGUGGCGAAGGCGACUCUCUGGUCUGUAACUGACGCUGAGGAGCGAAAGCGUGGGGAGCGAACAGGAUUAGAUACCCUGGUAGUCCACGCCGUAAACGAUGAGUGCUAAGUGUUAGGGGGUUUCCGCCCCUUAGUGCUGCAGCUAACGCAUUAAGCACUCCGCCUGGGGAGUACGGUCGCAAGACUGAAACUCAAAGGAAUUGACGGGGGCCCGCACAAGCGGUGGAGCAUGUGGUUUAAUUCGAAGCAACGCGAAGAACCUUACCAGGUCUUGACAUCCUCUGACAACCCUAGAGAUAGGGCUUUCCCUUCGGGGACAGAGUGACAGGUGGUGCAUGGUUGUCGUCAGCUCGUGUCGUGAGAUGUUGGGUUAAGUCCCGCAACGAGCGCAACCCUUGAUCUUAGUUGCCAGCAUUCAGUUGGGCACUCUAAGGUGACUGCCGGUGACAAACCGGAGGAAGGUGGGGAUGACGUCAAAUCAUCAUGCCCCUUAUGACCUGGGCUACACACGUGCUACAAUGGACAGAACAAAGGGCUGCAAGACCGCAAGGUUUAGCCAAUCCCAUAAAUCUGUUCUCAGUUCGGAUCGCAGUCUGCAACUCGACUGCGUGAAGCUGGAAUCGCUAGUAAUCGCGGAUCAG